This 9244-nucleotide long non-coding RNA is filed under the name Nicotiana tabacum (common tobacco). Its description in RNAcentral is "long non-coding RNA (NTAB_LNC002228)". The record is from RNAcentral. Lineage: Eukaryota; Viridiplantae; Streptophyta; Magnoliopsida; Solanales; Solanaceae.
GAACAAGAGCCAAUCAAAUUAUGCACUCACCCCACUCCAUCCACAAGUCACUUAAUUUCUUUUGCUUUCUAAUUCUUAACCCACAGCACCUACACACGUAAAUUAGUCAUCCAAAUAUGAAAUAUUCCCACAGCAGACAAAAAGACUUUACAGCUGUAGAGUAAUUGUUAUCAAAACACCUUACUUUAGGGAUAGAAUGGACUUCUCCACUAUUCUUGGAGAGAUAUAGAGCACCAAAGAAGAAUAGAGUUAGCAGCCCCAAAUCCUCCAUUAAAACCAGCAGUGAGCACCAGGCCACUAAAAUCCAGCUGAAACAACAUCAAAACUCCUCCAUCAAACCACCAAAAAUCAGCCAUAAAAACAGUCCCAAAACGACCUGCCAAACUCCCGUCAAAAAAUGACCUCAAAACAGCUCCAAAACGAUCUGAAAAACUGUCCCAAAACCAGCUCAAAUGAAGCUCCAAAAACGCAGCUAGAACAGCCCGGAAACUAAGCUCAAAACUGACCCUAAACCAGCCCCAAAACAGCUGUGUACGUUACUGCUGGAGCCUGGAAAAUCAGUCGCGAAACACCUCCAUAUAUAAGGUUAUCAAAAUCCCAGUCCAAAACCAUAGUCAAACCAGUCUCAUUCGAGUUUAGGUGAGGCUUCCGAUGCAAGGUUCUUUCUUCUUUGUUUGCGGAUCUGAAACAAAGUUUGCUUGAAGGUCCGUUUUCUUGUUUCAUUGGAUUUUUCAAUUCAUGAAUCUUAGGAUUUGCUUUUGGAUGAAUAAUUCUGUGCUUGAAUGCUUGUUAUUUUGAGUCUUCUUUAUGUGUUAUCUUAACUGAUUCAUGACACCAAUUUCAGUAGAUAAGUUGCUUCAUUAGUGAUUAUUAGAUCUCUGUUAAGUAGUACGUAAUAUUUAACUUUUGGAUUCUUUGAAUGAUGAUUAGUGAUUAUUGCUUGGUCUUAAGAACACUGAAUAAUGCGUUAUGGUUGAUUAACGUUAAAAUGUAAUAAUAUUGUUCACUAGUUAAUUAAUAGUUUAUCGAUUUGGAUUAGCCGACAUGGCUUUGAGUUGAAGAUAUACAUUUUGAAUGUGGAAUUUUAUAAUUGUCUCCCUUUUUUUUCUAUUAAACCGUAAACCCCUCACAAAGAGCUAACCCUUCUAUAUUUACAAAAGUUGGCGCAAUUUCAGAAGACCCAAUUAUCAAAUAGCCAUUAGAUAUAUAAAAUGUGAAGAAAAAUCGAUUAUUAAUGAGAUCCUAGUAUCAAAAUAGUUUUCUUUCAAUUCUCCAAUUGGGUUAUUGAUCUUCCUACAAAAAUGAAUUUUUGGUGUAUUUAACUUGGUUCUUAUUAGGUUCCAAUUUGGUUUGAAUGUGAAAUAUUGUUGAAAUUGAAUCCGUGUAAAUUUUCCUGUUUUUUUCCUUUUCACUUUUUGCUUCUAUAUUUUUUACUUUCUGAUACAUGAUGAAUAAAAAUGGUGAUGGUGGAUUUGGACAGUAGUUUCCAUUGUUGGUGGACCGUGGCCUUUUUUAUGGUUCAAAAAUAAUGGGAAUAGUGACUAUAAUAGUGGAGGUGGGGAAGAUGGUGUUGGAUAUCGUGUUACGGUAGCGUAGGGAUGGCACUAGGUGACAACACAUAACAGGGAUGAGUAAUUUUUUAGCCUUCCCCUCUUCGCCGCUCACUUCUCUUCUUGUUCACUGCUUCCCUCUCCCUUUUUCUCCUUGUAUUUCUUCUUCUAUUUCUUCUCUUUCGCUCUCAUAGUUUAGCAAAAAUUCUUACAAAUUAUGCAAAAAUAUUAUUGGGAUGAAAAGGUAAGGUUGAUCUCACAUCAGAGAAAAUCAAAAGCAAAAACUAAAAAAAAAUACAUUUCAACAAUGUUUUUCUUUUCUCUUCUUUUUCUUUGGUUGGAUUGAAUGAGUGUGUGAUUGAAAUUGGUUGAAAAUACCUAAACGAGGCUAUUUUUAAAAUUUGAGCAAGAUUAGAAGUGAUUUAGACUGAUUUUAGGUAAAAACUCGGACCUAAAAAUCCAACUGCGACAUGUGUAUAUCACAUUGUAUAUCGUGUACAUAAGUGUAUAUCACACAAAGGUUUUCAAGGAUGUCUAAGUAUAUCACUUUAUAUAUCGUGUAUACAACAUAAUUAUUUUAUGGACGCCCGUGUAUAUCACAUUGUAUAUCAUAUAUAUAACACAAAUUUUCAUGGAUAUACACAGGUACACAUGAUAUACAUGAGAUAUCACUGUUGUACAUAGAGAUAUACACGGGAUACAAUAGGGGAUACAUAUGUGGAGUCGUCUUGAACCUGAGUUUUCAAUCUGAAAUAUGUUACACAAAGAAGGAAAAUAAAAUUUUAAUAUACUUUUAAAAAAUAUUUGGGAGUUUUUCGGAUACUACUGAAGGAAAUAGAACCUAAUUUCUAGGAUGAUGGUUGCUAUGAGAGAAGAGAGAGAUGGGGUUUUAAAUAUUUUUUGCUAUUUUUAUGAAAAAUAAUUUUGAUGGGGCUUAUUCUUAGGAUGAACCAUUAGAAGAGAGAGAAUAACUUUAGGCUAUUAUAUUCCAAAUCCUAAAACGUUUAUUUUUUUAUGCCAAUUGUUGGACCUAAUUGUUAUGUCAUGCCAAAUCACCUUUUAAGAAAGAGUUAGAGUUGGGUUUGACAUUACUUUGAAAAUUUGGGCUUUAAAACGAUGUUUCAUAUUAGGGACAAUUGGGCCAACGUUAAUAAAUGAUCAGUUGAGCCUAAUUUUGUAAAUGAGAAAUUUUCAGAAAUGACUAUUGUUUAGUGGCUAUUAUCUUUUUAUAACUAUCAUAUACAUAAUUACUUUCCGUAGCUACCUUUCAGUUGUUAUGGUAAUAUAUUCGGUGUAUUCGAGCUACUGUAUUCAUGAAUACAGUAGCAAAAAUCGGCUAAAAAGUAGGGCAGUCCAGCUGUCAGCCGUUGAAUUCACAUGUAUUCAUGAAUACAACGUAAUAAUAGGUCUCUUCAGUUGUUUAAUAACGGAAAGCUACUAAUUUAACGGGAUACACUCCUAAUAUAACUUAUCUAAAUCAAUUAUAACACACAACAUUGUCAAUCCAAUUAAUGAGAAGAUUUAUCAGACGCUAAACAUAAAUCAAAAAAAAAAAAAAAAAGCAUUGUUCAGAGUUUCAGUCCCUCUUUCUUUUUUGAUACAGUUCGAGUUUUUUUUUUUGACAUUGUUUGAGGUUCUACUCGGAAUUGAUACAAGUAUCUACAGAAAUACUUUGAAAUUCGAUUUUCUGUAUAUGAAUACAUCAUAUAUUUAUGCCGGAUAUAACCUGUAAUAGUAACCUAUUGCAUGUAUAUUUCAUAAUAAACCUAGUGCUUGUAUUCUGCUGUAUCUAACAGUUGUGUUCAAUGUAUUCAAGUUUAUUUUUGUAUUUACAGUAUUUUAUUUAUUCCUAAUAUAUGGUAUUACUGCUUUAUUGAGUAUAUUUCAUUGGUUGUAUUCAUUAAUUUUCUAUUUGUAAUUUAAAAAUGUUAUUGUAUGAACUCAAAUACAUAUAAAUACAACAAUCAAAAAUUACUGUACAAACUAAAAAUCAGUCUAUGCCUUAUCGAAUACAUCUAAAUACAAGAAGAGAAACCCACUGUACAAACUAAAAAUCAAUAUAUGCAGACCCGAAUACAUAUAAAUACAUCUACAAUUAAGGUCAUUGCGCAUUUUUGAUCUCAUUUGGGCUUCAAUGGUUGCUGAUGAACCUACAAAUACAAUUCCAUUAUUAUAUGUGAAUGGUUUAACCCAUUUCCCCAAACCUAAUCCUAAUCUCAUUAGCCGUUGCCACCCUCUCCUCUGUCCUUUCCUCUUCCAUGUCAACAUUCAAAAUCAAUUCAGCUAUGAACUGACCAUGUCAGCUCCACUUUGGGAAAAGAUACAACUCAUAUCAGAAAACUUUGAUCAAGACAUUUUGAAACUCAUGUUAACAGAGAUGAAAUCCAGCAAAUCGAGAUCAAGAGUUUGAGAACAAUCUAGAGAGAGAACUGCAAAUAAAGGAGAAUCGUGGUUCAACAAUGGGGAAGACAAUGGCGCUGUGAGAGAGAGAUCGUGCAGAGAGAAAUAAGAUACGGUGAUUUUGGGAGAGAAUAAACUAAAAGAAUGAGAGAGAAAUAUUAGAUAGCGUAUUUAAUGGCUUAACGGUAGGAAGUGACCAUAAAUACAUAUUUUGCUAUAAAAAGCAAAAGGGAGCUAUAGUAAAUAAUAUUUUAAAAGAAUUUUUAUUUAUAAUAAAUAGGGUGUAAAACUUUGCUAUAUGAGGUAAACUUUCCUUGGUAAAUAGAUAGAAUAGUAAGAACUUUUAAGUUGUAAAUAAUUUUUAGUGAUUAAAUCUAUAUUUUUCCACAAUUUUACUUCCAUAAUUCUCAUGCCUCACAAUAAUCUCAAACUUAGAAAAUAACUCAUAAAUGCGUUAGAAUGCUUUAGGCGUACUCUUAAUUAAUCAAAUCAUCGUGAUUAUGUAUACGUUCGUAUGACAUAAUUAUGACUCCCAAAAUUAAAAUCAAGGUAUGCGUUCGCGCAACUUUAGGCGAAUCAAUCUUAACAAUAAUAAAGUGUUAUUAGUUGUGUACACGUACACAUGACGUGACUUUGACAUACCAAAUUAAACAAAUACACACAUGUGAUUCGUUUCAAAGAUAAUUCCAUAAUUAUAAUAACCAUGUAAUCUAAAAGCUGUAAAAGAUAAAAAUACGUAAAAACCCUUAAAACAUAUAAAUCUUCAGACUAAUCAAGCCAAGUAUAAAUUGUUAAUUGACCGUGCUAAAAUCACGGAACUCGGGAGCGCUUCACACCUUCUCCUGGGUUAACAGAAUUUUUUACCCGAUCUUUUGUGUUUCACAGACCGUAAUUCAGAGUCAAAACUUCCUUGAAUAGGGAUUAAAUAAAACCACUGGCUUGGAAUAUCGUAAUUAAAUAAUUUCAAGUGGCGACUCUUUAAAAUUAAUUAAAAUACAAUUCUAUUUUAAAUAAUGUCACUUUAAUUGAAAAAACUCUUUUCUUUUCACAAUCCUCGGAAAAAAGGAGGCGUGACAAUAGCAACAACAAGGUAAAAGGCAGUGGCAGCAAAUGGCGAAACAUGUAAUAACCAAAAUCGAGGAAUACGAGAAUACAAGACUAGUAUCAACUAUUGGUAAUAGUGACGCACCGUGUAGUAAUAAGGAACUAGGAAUAGAAAAAUACAAGACUUGUGCUAAUACUACUAAUAGGACAAGGAGAAAUUCUUGACACAUAGUUUGACGAGGGCAAAACACAACACAUAAUUAAUACUCGCUAAUCAAAGAUAGUAUAAUAAAUUAUUAUCUCCACAAAGAUUGAAUUCAAACAGUGUUUGAAUAAUCUUUAGUUAAAUACUAUCCAGAAAAAUUAACACUUGAUUUGAAUGAUUAUCAACUAUAAUUAGCUACUAAAAUUUAAGCAAUUAUCAAUUGAUCACAGAGGACAAAAGUUGAGCAACACAAAAUAUAAGUGAGAGAAAUAGAUAAAUGACUAGACAGGUGCAAGAUAAUUGAUUCGGGGUCCAAUUCUUAAAUUAGUUCACUCUAUAAUACUGUCGAUUCUCACGAAUUCACCAGAUAAUUAAAUUACACUCGAUGUUAAGGUUCCUCUUUCGAUUAAACUUUAAUUUCUAGAAAUAAUCCAAUUGAAGCACGAUGAAUAAUUGUAAUGAACAUAAUGAUGCUUUCUGUUCAAAGAGUAACUUCUCACGAAUAUUACCCUAUUUUUUGGUUCAAUUAAUAAUUCAAGAGGCUCUUUCGAUUACCUAGUUGAAUCACAAAUUUAAACUAGAGCAUAAGAAGUAAAGAAAUUCGAUAUAAAACUCCUCUUUCGAUUAAGCCAAAUACUGAACAACUUCACAAUAUAAUUCAAACUCCAUCAAUUAAGUCAACCAAUUGUUUAGAAUCGAAUCCCUAAUCGAAUUAUUAAUACACCAUGUCUGUUAACACCCAAAGAAAAACUACUCCAUGUCAAUGGAAAAAUUCAUCUCAAGAAGGUUUAAAGACAUUGAAAACAUCAAUGCUAAUAAUUCGAUACAAACUCCCGUAUUGCACCGAUUAUAGGUUGAAAUCUUGAUGAAUUCUUGUGUCAUCUUGCCUUAGUUGCUUCUCAAAUCUUUCGUAGGUCAAAAGUCACCUCAAAUCAUGUUUUGGUGUAUUUAUACCAUGUAGAAGCGGGUCCAGACGGAACUACCCUUUCCUAGUCGAAUUGAAAAAUUACUCUAAGGAAAAUACACGGGUGCGGAGCGCCUCGCGGCAUGCCACGCGCCGCGUUAGUGGGCAUCUUCAGAGAACAGAUUCUGACAAGCUUUUCCCAAUUGAAUGUCGCGCCUCGCCGCGCCCCAUGCGGAGCGAUAGUGCUUUUUUCUUAGAGUGUUCCUUUUUAUUAAUUUUUUGUUAUCCAUACUUGGUCAUCGACCCCCGAACGCGAUUCCAGUUUAAUUCCUUGGGCUUUUACUCAGACUUCAAAGCUCUAAUUUGUUUGAUUCAGCUCCAAAUUAACUUUUUAACUCAAAAUCAAUUCCUUCGAGGCAUAAAACACGUAAUAAAUGCAAAUCACCAUCGUUUAAGCUCAAACACAAGUAAAAUGCAGUAAUUAGAGUGUAAAAUGCAGCUAAAACACGAGUUUCUAACCUACCAUCAACUAAAUGUCAACCCACAACCUUAAUUCUAGACAUUCACACUUUUAUGUCGAGGGUCAUGUCCUCGGUAAGCUGAGGUAGUGUCAUAUCCUUCCAAAUCACUCCUCCCUUAUAUUUUUUAGGCCUCCCUCUACCCCUCCUCUGACCCGUCACGGUCAACCUCUCACACCUCGUGACCGGGACAUCGGAGCAUCUUCUCUUUACAUGUCCGAACCAUAUCAGCCUCAAUUCUCGCAACUUGUUCCACAAGAGCGACACUCACCUGGUCCCUAAUAACUUCAUUCUUGAUCUUGUCUUUCCUGGUAUGCUCCCACAUCCAACUUAACAUCUUCAUUUCUAUUAUUGCCAAGGGAAGUGUAGGUUCAAUUCUCUUUAGCCUCAAAGGUUUUAACAAAAAUUGCUCGCUUAAAUAUGUUCAAGAAAUACAAUGUCUAGGUCGAGCCUUGAGCCUACGGCCUUUAUAAGCCCAAAUAUGAGUUUGACCAGUGGACCAAGAAGUACUAUUUUCUAGGAAUAAGCGGUGCCAUUAUUAUAUAUUGCUUCAUUUUUACAGAAUAUUAGUAUAAAUAUUUAUUAUUUUUCCCGGCGAAGCGACGUCAGAUGACACCGCCCCCACCUUGUGCAUCUGCCCCUGGUAGUAGUACAAUUGAAAUCUCAUUCACUACUGUGCUCUUGCGUUGAACCAAGCAUAGGAGGUAUACUCUGUUCAUGUCGAAAAACAUUUAGUGGAUCAAUUUGUGUCUUAGCUUUAACCAACCUAUCAUAGUUAUGCAAGAAAUACAUUUCACCCCACGCUCUAGCUCUCUCCACAGCAUCAACAGAGGAAGAAGAACUACGACUACUAGCAUUUCGCAGUAAGUAGUCGUCGUCCAUAUUCACUCCAAGAUCCAUAUCCAAGUAGUUGAUAUAAGCUCCCCUUGGCGAGCUUGAAACAAAAGGCGCCAUUUUAUUGUAAAAUCCCCUUGUCCACUCUAUGUACUCGUUGCUCUUGGCAUCGUCCUCUUCGUUCCAAAAUGCAUAAUAUUGAACCGCGAAAAGGUUACCCUUUCGAUGAGGGAAAGCAAUAGCUUGAUCACUAAUCUUGUCCAUGACUCCGCCAUAAGGAUCGAAGACAAGGAAUGACUUGGGGUUUUUCUCGAGUUCAACAAGAGCUGUCAUCAUCGCGUCCAUUGAAAAUGGAGUCUUCACAAAAUCUGAUUUGCCUUUGAAGAAAGUUUUUGCGUCCAUGUAGCGUUCUUUCAAACGGGAGAUAUCGUCAGAGGAGUUCCCGAAUACGUUAUCUAAUUCGGAAAAGAAAAGUGCUGACUCAAUCCAAGUCAUUUCUUUGGCGUCAUCAUUCUUAGCGUCCAGCUCUGGAAAUGCCUCAUUUAAUAUGGAAACCGCUUCAGUUUUUGGACCCAAAUAAAGUGCAUUGAAUUGGGGAAAUGUUUCAAUAGGAGUAGUAUUUCCGUAAUUCAUAUCCGCCCGCAGAUCUAUAGGUCUCAUGAGUACUCCUAGAGUAAAAUCAUCGGCCAAAUUUGGAGUAACUAUUUGCCAUUUCUGAAGUAGUUGAGCCACGUAUUGUUUGGAUCCAGGCCUAUAGAUCAUACAAGUUGUUACGAUUUUAGGCACUUUGAGUAAUCGAAUUUUCCAGGCAUAAAUAAUUCCCCAAUUUCCACCGCCGCCACCUCUGAUUGCCCAAAAUACGUCUUCUCCCAUGGCUUUCCGGUCUAAUAACCGUCCUUCAGCAUCAAUUAGAAGAGCAUCAACGACACUAUCAGCAGCGAGUCCGAAUUUUCUGGACAUUAGUCCAAAGCCGCCACCUGAAAUAUGACCUCCAGAUCCUACUGUUGGUCCCGAACCUGCUGAAAAUGCAUGAACGUCACUAACCCUGGAAAUGGCGUAAUAAAUUUGGCCAAUUGUUGCGCCGCCCUGAGCCCAAGCUGUUUCGGAAUCCAAAUCUACUGAAACGUCGUCUAAUUUCAUCAAGUCAACGAUCACGAAAGGGGAACCGUCAAAGGAAACGUAAGAAGUUCCCUCGUAACUGUGUCCUCCGCACCUUACUCUGAUUUCAUAAGAUGUUUGUCUGCAACAAAGAAUGGUACUCACGAGCUCCUCUUUGCUGUUUGGUAGGAUAAUGACCGUUGGUUUCGGCAUGUAAGAUGCAGCAAAUCGAAGAUUCUGAAGGGAAAAAUCGAGCAAGUUAAAGUAAUUACUACUACUUUGAUCAUUCUUUGUGGGGUAAAUAGAGAAGUUAUGGACAUUGUGGUUGAUUAAACAGGUGGAAAGAUUUGUAACUCCUCCUGCUCCACUAGUAACACUAGCAAAGAGGAAAGUAAAUGAAAAGCUGAUCAGAAUUAUGAUUGGAAACAUGUUGUAUGUAUCUCUUCCAACUAUUUUCCUUUACUUCCAAUUAACUUGGCAUACAUAUAUAUAGUAGACAUGAGCAGUUUGAGAACAAAAAGAUGGGAGUAAUAUUGAAAAGUUCAGGUGGGCUAAAGGGGCAUCACGUGCUUUACGGAGUGCUUAUAACUUAUCCUUACUCAAAUCUUGAACACUUGACAUAUGUGACAUAUAUAUAGUCCUAUCAUAAAACCAUAAUUAAUUAAUAAAUAAUUUCACCUUAAUUUAAGGG